UACGGGGGGGGCAAGCGUUGUUCGGAUUUACUGGGCGUAAAGGGCGCGUAGGCGGCAAUUCAAGUCAGCUGUGAAAUCUCCGGGCUUAACUCGGAACGGUCAGCUGAUACUGCUUUGCUAGAGUGCGGAAGGGGCAAUCGGAAUUCUCGGUGUAGCGGUGAAAUGCGUAGAUAUCGAGAGGAACACCAGAGGUGAAGACGGGUUGCUGGGCCGACACUGACGCUGACAGCGCGAAAGCCAGGGGAGCAAACGGG
RNAcentral lists this ribosomal RNA (254 nucleotides) under uncultured bacterium. Its description in RNAcentral is "partial 16S ribosomal RNA". It matches the Rfam family "Bacterial small subunit ribosomal RNA", at positions 524 to 776 of the family's 1533-position model. The record is from RNAcentral.